GGAAGUAAAAGUCGUAACAAGGUUUCCGUAGGUGAACCUGCGGAAGGAUCAUUACUGAUUUAGCGAACCGAGCGUUAGCGAGGUUUUGCGAUCAACUUGUAUUUAAAACCCACUCUUCAAUGUAUAAAAUUUGUAUUAAUGAUAAAUUAAAAGAUCACUUUCAACAACGGAUCUCUUGGCUCUCGCAUCGAUGAAGAACGUAGCGAAGUGCGAUAAGUAAUGUGAAUUGCAGUAUUCCGUGAAUCAUCGAACCUUUGAACGCAUAUUGCACUUUCUGGUAUUCCGGAAAGUAUGCCUGUUUGAGGGUCAGUUAAAUAAAAAUCAGUGUUGUUGCCGCUUUCCGUGGUGACGCGUCGGAAUUGAGUCGUCUUCGGUUAAGUGACUUAAAAUUUUAUAUGAUUUUCGAACGUAUUUAAAUUUAUUUGAACGUUUGAUAUCGAAUGCUUAUUAGGUUCGGUCAUCCUCAUGACUCGCGCCUAUAAUUUUUCAUUAAAUGACCUCAAAUCAGGUAAGAAUACCCGCUGAACUUAAGCAUAUCAAUAAGCGGAGGA
RNAcentral lists this ribosomal RNA (551 nucleotides) under uncultured Glomus. RNAcentral describes it as "eukaryotic LSU rRNA". The stretch from base 156 to 309 matches the Rfam family "5.8S ribosomal RNA". Lineage: Eukaryota; Fungi; Glomeromycota; Glomeromycetes; Glomerales; Glomeraceae. The record is from RNAcentral.